RNAcentral lists this ribosomal RNA (253 nucleotides) under uncultured bacterium. RNAcentral describes it as "partial 16S ribosomal RNA". It matches the Rfam family "Bacterial small subunit ribosomal RNA", at positions 524 to 776 of the family's 1533-position model. The record is from RNAcentral.
UACGUGGGGAGCAAGCGUUGUUCGGAUUUACUGGGCGUAAAGGGCGCGUAGGCGGCGUGACAAGUCACUUGUGAAAUCUCCGGGCUUAACUCGGAACGGUCAAGUGAUACUGUCGUGCUAGAGUACAGAAGGGGCAACUGGAAUUCUCGGUGUAGCGGUGAAAUGCGUAGAUAUCGAGAGGAACACCUGCGGCGAAGGCGGUUCUCUGGGCCUUACCUGACGCUGAGGAGCGAAAGCGUGGGGAGCGAACAGG